This 460-nucleotide ribosomal RNA is filed under the name uncultured bacterium. RNAcentral's name for it is "partial 16S ribosomal RNA". It matches the Rfam family "Bacterial small subunit ribosomal RNA", at positions 29 to 523 of the family's 1533-position model. The record is from RNAcentral.
AACGAACGCUGGCGGCAGGCCUAACACAUGCAAGUCGAGCGGGCGUAGCAAUACGUCAGCGGCAGACGGGUGAGUAACACGUGGGAACGUGCCCUUCAGUUCGGAACAACCCAGGGAAACUUGGGCUGAUACCGGAUACGCCCCGGACUUGAUCCGGGGGAAAGAUUUAUCGCUGAAGGAUCGUCCCGCGUCUGAUUAGCUGGUUGGUGAGGUAACGGCUCACCAAGGCGACGAUCAGUAGCUGGUCUGAGAGGAUGAUCAGCCACACUGGGACUGAGACAUGGCCCAGACUCCUACGGGAGGCAGCAGUGGGGAAUAUUGGACAAUGGGCGCAAGCCUGAUCCAGCCAUGCCGCGUGAGUGAUGAAGGCCCUAGGGUUGUAAAGCUCUUUCACCGGUGAAGAUAAUGACGGUAACCGGAGAAGAAGCCCCGGCUAACUUCGUGCCAGCCGCCGCGGUAA